AGAAUCAACGCUGGCGGCGUGCCUAAUACAUGCAAGUCGAACGCGAAAGUCCCGCAAGGGAUGAGUAGAGUGGCAAACGGGUGAGUAACGCGUGGGUGACCUGCCUUCGAGUGGGGGAUAACGUCCCGAAAGGGACGCUAAUACCGCAUAACAUCCUGCCUUUGAAGAGGUGGAGAUCAAAGCUGGGGAUCGCAAGACCCGGCACUUGAAGAGGGGCCCGCGCCUGAUUAGCUAGUUGGUGGGGUAAUGGCCUACCAAGGCAACGAUCAGUA
RNAcentral lists this ribosomal RNA (272 nucleotides) under uncultured bacterium. RNAcentral's name for it is "partial small subunit ribosomal RNA". It matches the Rfam family "Bacterial small subunit ribosomal RNA", at positions 26 to 285 of the family's 1533-position model. The record is from RNAcentral.